UGAGUACGAGACACUACGGUGUCGAAGCAGUCUAUGUCAUACUUCCAAGAAAAGCUUGCACUGUCAUAAACAAAUAAUGCCUGUACCAUAACCGACACAGGUGGGUAGGUAGAGUAUACUAAGGGGCGCGAGAUAACUCUCUCUAAGAACUCGGCAAAAUGACUCCGUAACUUCGGGAGAAGGAGUGCCUUAUAUUUUAUAAGGUUGCAAUAACAAGAUCCAAGCAACUGUUUACCAAAAACACAGGUCUCCGCUAAGUCGUAAGACGAUGUAUGGGGGCUGACGCCUGCCCAGUGCCAGAAGGUUAAAGAAGUUGGUUAGUAUUUGCGAAGCUGAUAACUGAAGCCCUGGUGAACGGCGGCCGUAACAAUAACGGUCCUAAGGUAGCGAAAUUCCUUGUCGGGUAAGUUCCGACCCGCACGAAAGGCGUAAUGAUUUGGAUACUGUCUCGGAGAGGGACUCGGUGAAAUAGACUUGUCUGUGAAGAUGCGGACUACUUGCACCAGGACAGAAAGACCCUAUGAAGCUUUACUGUAACUUGAAAUUGAAAUUGGACUUUACUUGCGCAGUAUAGGUGGGAGGCUUUGAGAAUAUUCUUGCGGGAAUAUUGGAGCCAUUAGUGAGAUACCACUCUGGUAAUGUUAGAUUUCUAACUUUGUAUCAUUAUCUGGUCAAAGAACAGUUUCAGGCGGGCAGUUUGACUGGGGCGGUCGCCUCCUAAACGGUAACGGAGGCGCACAAAGGUUUCCUCUGAACGGGUAGAAAUCGUAUCUAGAGUGUAAAGGCAUAAGGAAGCUUGACUGUGAGACCUACAAGUCGAGCAGGGACGAAAGUCGGUCUUAGUGAUCUGACGGUGCUGAGUGGAAAGGCCGUCACUCAACGGAUAAAAGUUACUCUAGGAUAACAGGCUGAUCUCCCCCAAGAGUUCACAUCGACGGGGAGGUUUGGCACCUCGAUGUCGGCUCAUCGCAUCCUGGGGCGGUAGUACGUCCCAAGGGUUGGGCUGUUCGCCCAUGAAAGCGGUACGCGAGCUGGGUUCAGAACGUCGUGAGACAGUUCGGUCCAUAUCCGGUGUAAGCGUUAGAAUAUUGAGAGGAGCCUUCUUUAGUACGAGAGGACCGAGAAGGAUGCACCGCUGGUGUACCAGUUAUUGUGCCAACAGUAAACGCUGGGUAGCUAUGUGUGGAGUGGAUAACCGCUGAAAGCAUCUAAGUGGGAAGCCCACCUCAAGAUAAGUAUUCUUAUCACGUAAGUGAAUAAGGUCACGGUAAGACUAACCGUUUGAUAGGCAUUAAGUGUAAAUCUAGUAAUAGACGAGCUGAGAUGUACUAACAGACCGAAGAC
RNAcentral lists this ribosomal RNA (1344 nucleotides) under metagenome. RNAcentral describes it as "bacterial LSU rRNA". It matches the Rfam family "Bacterial large subunit ribosomal RNA", at positions 1564 to 2925 of the family's 2925-position model. The record is from RNAcentral.